AACACCCACAAAAACUAUAAGAUCUCACCUGCUGAGGAAACUGAUCUAUGUGUGUGUGUGUGUGUGUGACGAGGGGAAAGACACUGAAACUUAUUUCUAUGUGUGUGUGAUGAGGAAAAAGACACUGACACUUAUUUCUACGUGUGUGUGUGUCAUGUGGGGAAAGACACUGACACUUAUUUCUAUGUGUGUGUGUGUGAUGAGGGGAAAGACACUGACACUUAUUUCUAUGUGUGUGUGUGUGAUGAGG
Long non-coding RNA from Limulus polyphemus (Atlantic horseshoe crab), 250 nucleotides. RefSeq lists it as uncharacterized. The record is from RefSeq and is a predicted model, not a curated record. Lineage: Eukaryota; Metazoa; Arthropoda; Merostomata; Xiphosura; Limulidae. The transcript is spliced from 2 exons.